CAGCCGCCGCGGGAAUACAGAGGGUGCAAGCGUUAAUCGGAAUUACUGGGCGUAAAGCGCGCGUAGGUGGUUUGUUAAGUUGGAUGUGAAAUCCCCGGGCUCAACCUGGGAACUGCAUUCAAAACUGACUGACUAGAGUAUGGUAGAGGGUGGUGGAAUUUCCUGUGUAGCGGUGAAAUGCGUAGAUAUAGGAAGGAACACCAGUGGCGAAGGCGACCACCUGGACUAAUACUGACACUGAGGUGCGAAAGCGUGGGGAGCAAACAGGAUUAGAUACCCCCGUAGUCCUGUCUCUUAUACC
RNAcentral lists this ribosomal RNA (301 nucleotides) under uncultured bacterium. RNAcentral describes it as "partial 16S ribosomal RNA". It matches the Rfam family "Bacterial small subunit ribosomal RNA", at positions 509 to 808 of the family's 1533-position model. The record is from RNAcentral.